Molecule: ribosomal RNA, 301 nt
Filed under: uncultured bacterium
Lineage: Bacteria
Description: partial 16S ribosomal RNA
Rfam family: Bacterial small subunit ribosomal RNA
Source: RNAcentral
CAGUCGCCGCGGUAAUACAGAGGGUGCGAGCGUUAAUCGGAUUUACUGGGCGUAAAGCGUGCGUAGGCGGCUUCUUAAGUCGGAUGUGAAAUCCCUGAGCUUAACUUAGGAAUUGCAUUCGAUACUGGGAAGCUAGAGUAUGGGAGAGGAUGGUAAAAUUCCAGGUGUAGCGGUGAAAUGCGUAGAGAUCUGGAGGAAUACCGAUGGCGAAGGCAGCCAUCUGGCCUAAUACUGACGCUGAGGUACGAAAGCAUGGGGAGCAAACAGGAUUAGAUACCCGGGUAGUCCCUGUCUCUUAUAC